UGCAUAAGUUCCCAAUGUUCCCAACCCAUGUUCCCCAUGUGGGUCCACAAUGUUCACAACACUUCAAGGAUAAGCAUUGUGAGCAAAAACAUGUUUUUGACCCCUCCUCAAGAAUACUUCACUGCGACCACUUUGCAAAGAAUCGAUCGUGGCUCCCCAGUUCUAGGUCUGAAGACCUAACCUAACACUGUAAGACUUUGAAAUCACUAAGACGUCUACAGUGGAG
This 226-nucleotide long non-coding RNA is filed under the name Physcomitrium patens. RNAcentral describes it as "long non-coding RNA (PPAT_LNC014595)". The record is from RNAcentral. Lineage: Eukaryota; Viridiplantae; Streptophyta; Bryopsida; Funariales; Funariaceae.